AUGUCCUCCUCUAUCUCGACCAUCUUCUCCGGCCUAAACAACAACACCUCCGAACCACUCUCCCACACCAACUAUGUCCUAUGGCGCGCCCAGGCCAGAUCACAGAUCAUGGGCGCUGGCCUUUUUGGCUAUCUCGAUCAAACUAUCCAAGAACCCUCCAAAACCAUCACCACCAAGAGCACCGAUGGGAAGGAUCAGGUUGUCCCAAAUCCUGCCUACUCCCCAUGGCUUAUUCAAGAUCAGCAAAUAGUUGCCUAUCUUCUCCGAAGCCUAUCCAAAGAAGUCCUCAUCCAAGUCUCCUCCCUUGAGACAUCACAUGCAAUCUGGGACGCACUGGCGAACAUGUUU
RNAcentral lists this ribosomal RNA (348 nucleotides) under Triticum aestivum (bread wheat). RNAcentral's name for it is "partial small subunit ribosomal RNA". Lineage: Eukaryota; Viridiplantae; Streptophyta; Magnoliopsida; Poales; Poaceae. The record is from RNAcentral.